GCAUUGUUKAAGAACGCAGCGAAAUGCGAUACUGGGUGGGAAUUGCAGAAUCCCGUGAACCAUCCGAGUCUUUGAAMGCAAGUUGCGCCCGAAGCCAUUAGRCCGAGGGCACGUCUGCCUGGGCGUCAC
This 129-nucleotide ribosomal RNA is filed under the name Penstemon hybrid cultivar. RNAcentral's name for it is "partial 5.8S ribosomal RNA". It matches the Rfam family "5.8S ribosomal RNA", at positions 30 to 154 of the family's 154-position model. Rfam says of the family: 5.8S ribosomal RNA (5.8S rRNA) is a component of the large subunit of the eukaryotic ribosome. It is transcribed by RNA polymerase I as part of the 45S precursor that also contains 18S and 28S rRNA. The record is from RNAcentral. Lineage: Eukaryota; Viridiplantae; Streptophyta; Magnoliopsida; Lamiales; Plantaginaceae.